UACGUAGGCAGCGAGCGUUGUUCGGAGUUACUGGGCGUAAAGGGUGUGUAGGCGGUUCUCUAAGUUUGGGGUGAAAUCUCCCGGCUCAACCGGGAGGGUGCGCCGAAAACUGGGGGACUCGAGUGCGGGAUGGGAGAGUAGAAUUCCUGGUGUAGCGGUGAAAUGCGUAGAUAUCAGGAGGAAUACCGGUGGUGUAGACGGCUCUCUGGACCGCCACUGACGCUGAGACACGAAAGCGUGGGUAGCAAACAGG
This 253-nucleotide ribosomal RNA is filed under the name uncultured bacterium. RNAcentral describes it as "partial 16S ribosomal RNA". It matches the Rfam family "Bacterial small subunit ribosomal RNA", at positions 524 to 776 of the family's 1533-position model. The record is from RNAcentral.